AUGUAAUAUACCAGAUUUUGGUAAAAAAAAAAUUAAAAAAAUAAAAAUAGUGUGGGAUACUAUUUUUAUUGGAUUUAGAGAAGUAAAACAUAAGUCAGAAUUGAUUUAUGCUGAAAUCGGAAUAAAAACAGAAGAUUUAGAAUUUUCUGUUGGAAACGAGACAGAUAAAUUAGCAAAAAAUGCACAAUCUCAGAAAAUUAUGAAAAUUGGAGGAUAAGUCAGAAAUAUUUUUAUGAGGCUAGAUUUAAAGUUUCAUAUUUUUUUGACACCCGAAAGUUGAGAAAUAAAAUCCGAAAGCUAUCUGAUAAAGAUUACAGUUCGGUACAGUUUUCGGUGACCAAACGGGGUCGAAACUGAAAACUUAAAGUAUAUUCUUGUUCAGUACGUUAAACCGAAUAUGACUGUCAAAUUUGAGCUCAAACGGAUACUCUGGAAGCUCCGGCGAAAGAUAUCAGAUUUUAAGUUGCCUGGAGUGAAUAGUGUCAGGGUGUAAUUAAUUAAAGAAGCUAUUUAGCUUCUUCUCCUCCAUCAGCCGACCACCAUGGCCGACACACCCACACACACGCACGCAUGGAUGGGGAAGAGAAACUCCCCUUUCUCU
This 601-nucleotide long non-coding RNA is filed under the name Ananas comosus (pineapple). RNAcentral describes it as "long non-coding RNA (ACOM_LNC037676)". Lineage: Eukaryota; Viridiplantae; Streptophyta; Magnoliopsida; Poales; Bromeliaceae. The record is from RNAcentral.